This is a long non-coding RNA of Populus nigra (black poplar), 4471 nucleotides long. RefSeq lists it as uncharacterized. The transcript has 8 exons. The record is from RefSeq and is a predicted model, not a curated record. NCBI's taxonomy places the organism in Eukaryota, Viridiplantae, Streptophyta, Magnoliopsida, Malpighiales, Salicaceae.
GCCUGAGGGCUUGUGUAUGAAUGUAGAUGCUUUUUAAAAAUUUACAUGAGCUAAAUUGUUAGUGAUGUUGAUAUGACUCCUGCAAUGGGCUGCAUGCUUAUAUCGUUGAUUAUUCUUCGUAUUCUUCUAAGUAUUUACUUAAACCGUGAUAUGUGGAGAUUUGAAUGUGUCCAUAAAUUGAUGGUGUGGUCUGCAAAACUAUGGAUAGUUACGAUAAAAAUCUCAUAUGUUAUUUUACAUGAUUAUCCUUAUACAUGUUUACGAAGCCUUAACUAUAUACAUGUUUAUAAUUAGCUUACCAUGCUGGCUAUAUAUAUCUCGUAAAUAGAAAAGGAGAUUUAGCUUACCAUUUAUAGCUUCCUAAGAUCACUCCAGUACACGAUUGAAAACUCAGUAAUUACCUGUGCUAUAUGUCUCUACGUGUUUUGUUAAUUGAUUGUUGAUGUUUUCAUUAGCUUGUUCUGCAAAUUUGGGUUGAAAGUUUUUGGUGCGCCUCUUUAUUGAUUGCUUUUGGAAUCCAUGGAUGGAUAGUUGUGAGAAAAAGUUUCAAUUUGAUAAUUGUGGUCGAUUAGUCCCACGUGUAAAAUCAAGCAAGGCUAUAAAGUACCUACAUAUAGCCUUUUUCCUUGAUGUGAUAGUUGUAAGUAACUUAAAUUAUUUGAUCGACAUGUUCUUGGAUACUCAUGGAGCAUUGUUUAUGCCUGAGGGCUUGUCUAUAAAUGUAGAUGCUUUUUAAAAAUUUACAUGAGCUAAACUGUUAGUGAUGUUGAUAUGACUCCUGCAAUGGGCUGCAUGCCUAUAUCGUUGAUUAUUCUUCGUAUUCUUCUAAGUAUUUACCUAAACCGUGAUAUGUGGAGAUUUGAAUGUGUCCAUAAAUUGAUGGUGUGGUCUGCAAAAUUAUGGAUAGUUACGAUAAAAAUCUUAUAUGUUAUUUUACAUGAUGAUCUUUAUACAUGUUUAUGAUGCCUUAACUAUAUACAUGUUUAUAAUUAGCUUAUAUGUUAUUUUACAUGAUGAUCCUUAUACAUGUUUAUGAUGCCUUAACUAUAUACAUGUGUAUAAUUAGCUUACCAAACUGGCUAUAUAUACUCUCUUAAUCAGAAAAGGAGAUUUAGCUUCCCAUGUAUAGCUUCCUAAGAUCACUCUAGUUCAUCAUUGAAAACUCAGUAAUUACCUGUGCUAUAUAUCUCUACGUGUUUUGUUAAUUGAUUGUUGAUGUUUUCAUUAGCUUGUUCUGCAAAUUUGGGUUGAACGUUUUUGGUGCGACUCUUUAUUGAUUGCUUUUGGAAUCCAUGGAUGGAUAGUUGUGAGAAAAAGUUUCAAUUUGAUAAUUGUGGUCGAUUAGUCCCACGUGUAAAAUCAAGCAAGGCUAUAAAGUACCUACAUAUAGACUUUUUCCUUGAUGUGAUGGUUGUAAGUAACUUAAAUUAUUUGGGUAUUUUAUUUCCUACUUUGGUAUGACCUAGUGUAGGAUUUGGGGACCUGAAUAGGCACCCAUUUUUCGAGUCGUAAUGCUAGAUGCUUGUCGAGUGAAAUUUGAUUUUUUGCAUGUUUCCUUACUCUUGUGGAUAUGUCGACUUCUACUUUCCUUGUAGAUUCAAGAAAGCUUCUUGUGGAUUUCUAGGUUUCUUUUCUUCACUAAUUGUUGGGUGAUUUUUUGUUUUUGUUUUCCUUAAAUCCUUUGGUAAGCUUGCGUUGCAGUCUUUUGUUUUGAUAUGCGUGAUUUUAAUCAGCAUUUCAAUUUUGUCUGUUGUUUCAUCUGUUCAGAAUGUCGGCACAAUUAUUUUUAUCAAUAGUGAUGCACAUCGUUGACGUGUUUUCUCUUUAUGCCUAUUUUUUGUGUUUACACAUGCUCCUGCCCGUUAUAUUUUCCUAGAUCUUUUUCGUGCUUUCCUAGGAUGCCAAUAAGGCUGUUAUAUGUUUUGCUGGCAAUGAUAGUUUGUUUUUAAACCUUGGAUGUGUCUUUAUACUGUGACUGUGGGAUGCUCUUAUUAGCGUUUCUAUAAAUUUUGCGGUAUCUUGACAAGAUGUUUAUCACGAAGAUGAUAAUUGUGACGAUGAUGGACGUCAUGAAGCAAAUCUAGAGGGAAAUAUGUUACUGUGAAAAUGAAGGUAUGAAGCAAAUCUAGAGGGAAAUGUGUUUAUUUUUUUGCAGAAAGGAGGAGAUAGAAAUAAGAAAGGAUAUUAUAUAACAUGAUGCCUUAAUUGCUCUCUUACCAACUCAAUCACAACUUAUUGAUCAAUUUUUUUGGAUAUCAUCAACCAUUUGUAACCAAAAAGGAAAUGGACAUCAUUUAACAAGGAAAAAAAUAUAUAAGAAAUUUUAUUGUAAUGCAAAAUUUUCUUUGUUUAACUUCUAGGUUGCUAAACUCUGCUAGUUGCUUUUGACUAUAGUUGGUUGAUGGUAGUAACAGGCUCAUGCUUUUUUGGUAAAAUAAAAUAUGGUUUUAGUUAUACCAUUACUUUAUGGAUUUUGGUUAUCCACUAUGGCUAAUAAUCUUUUAUUAUAUCUGCAGUUUAAGAGCAUUUUUGAAUUUUUUUUUUGUUGCUCAACUUUGUGGUUUCGUUUAAUCUAUUUUUUUUUUUCCUGGUGGUGUUCUACUUUCAGGAAUAUCAUGUAUCGGGUAUUCCAUUGGUAAUAUUGUUUUUGUUUGCUUGCCAUGUUCCAAGUUUGAGGGUUCACUUGGAUUGGGGUAAUGGCAGUUGGGUUUGUUCGAAGAAGAGGGUUUGCUAAUUAUAUAAGUGUUCUUUUCUCGACAAGGAAACAUUAUCAUUAAUAUCUUAUGUUUUGUAGGUUAACUUGUUAAAUUGCUGCAUUCAUUAGCGAAAAGAGGGAGGGGCAUGGCUAUUAUGCGCUUGAAAAACGUAUUUUACGGGAUUGGUAAGAGAGUGUUGUUUGGUCUAUACGGAUUUUCUUAUCCAAAACUUGGAUAGCGCAACCUCAUACACCCAGCCCAUUUCAGUUCGAAAGUUAAUUAUGUUGAUAAGUUUGUUUUUCAUUGUGAUUUAUUAUUUAUAUUUAAUCUUAUUCAUUUGUUUUUUUGUCUACUAUGUAAUAUAUUGAUAUCAAAAUUAUGUUAUGGGCUUACAGUUUGUUUCUUUAGUAGCCAUUCGUUUUGUAUUGAGUGAUCUCUUCCACAACCUAUGCAAUGAUGAUGGGCAUCAACUACUCGAUGAAGGUGCAGGGGAUCAAGUUUUAUUUGCUUUCAUUGAGAUUGUGUUGAUAAUUCCGACAAUCGCAUCUCGUGUCUUUCUUUCAUAAACGGUUUUGGCAACUUGCAGUAUAAUGGAGUGUGAAAAGCAGCCAAUAUCUAUGUUGAAAUCCUAGAAGAUGAUGUUUUGGUCUUGCCUCUACAUGUACUUGGUAUAAGUAGAGUGUGAAAGAGUUGCAUAAAAUGCUUCAUAGGUGCAAUGAGCAACUUCAGCCAUGUAAACAAGAAGGCACUAGACCAACAUGUAAAUAUCACUGAGAAACAGGAGAAACUCCAGAAAAGUCAAGUUGAACUAUGGUGCUGGAUUUUAUUGCUUAAAUAUCUUAUGUUGUACUUAUUGUUUUUAACAUGAUAUUAAGAUUUAUGUAUCUUGACUUCAAUGAGAUUAUGUUUUAUUACUUCAAUGCUUGUGUGCAGAAAAUCAUAGAACUGAUAUUUGUUUUAGAUCAGCGAGACAAUGAAUAUUGCACUGUCAAAGGAGUUGUUGAGCACUUUAGCGAAGUAUUCUUUGAACUCGUGCAAGGUGGUCGUGGUCAUUUGGCUAUGAUGAAGAAAAAGAUGUUGAUCACGAAUAUGAUAAUUGUGACGAUGAUGGAUGUCAUGAAGCAAAUUUGGAGGGAAAUAUGUUACUGUGAAAAUGAAGGAGUUCACAUCUUUACAUGCAAAAGUCACUGCACUAGAGCAUGAUCUUCAUAAAUCUUGUCAAGAGGCCUCUAAUAAUCAUGAUCUCUGUUGCCAGUUAGAAAAGGAAUAUCAUGUAUCGGGUAUCAUAUUGGUAAUAUUGUUUUGAUUUGCUUACCAUGUUCCAAGUUUAAGGGUUCACUUAGAUUGGGGGUAAUGGCAAUUGGGUUUCUUCAAAGAAGAGGGUUUCCUGAUUAUCUUAUGUGUUCUUUUCUCGACAAGGAAACAUUAUCAUUAAUAUCUUAUGUUUUGUAGGUUAACUUGUUGAAUUGCUGCAUUCAUUAGGGAAAAGAGGGAGGGGCUUGGCUAUUAUGUGCUUGAAAAGCGUAUUUUACGGGACUGGUAAGAGUGUGUUUGGUCUGUAAGGAUUUCCUUAUCCAAAACUUGGAUAGCGCAACCCCAUACACCUAGCCCAUUUCAGUUCGAAAGUUAAUUGUGUUUGUAAGUUAGUUUUUCAUUGUGAUUAUUUUUUUAUAUAUGUUAUCUUAUUUAUUUGUUGUGUGUCUACUAUAUAAUAUAUUGAGUGAUGAGUGUUUUAAAUUUAUGGACUGAAGGAUUAUUCCUUUUUUAUGUGUUAA